GACGAACGCUGGCGGCGCGCCUAACACAUGCGAGUCGAACGGAGCUGAGAGAAGCUUGCUUUUCUUAGCUUAGUGGCGAACGGGUGAGUAACGCGUGAGUAACCUGCCCUGGAGUGGGGGACAACAGUUGGAAACGACUGCUAAUACCGCAUAAGCCCACGAUCCGGCAUCGGAUUGAGGGAAAAGGAUUUAUUCGCUUCAGGAUGGACUCGCGUCCAAUUAGCUAGUUGGUGAGGUAACGGCCCACCAAGGCGACGAUUGGUAGCCGGACUGAGAGGUUGAACGGCUGCGUUGGGACUGAGACACGGCCCAGACUCCUACGGGAGGCAGCAGUGGGGGAUAUUGCACAAUGGGGGAAACCCUGAUGCAGCGGCGCCGCGUGGAGGAAGAAGGUUUUCGGAUUGUAAACUCCUGUCGUUAGAGACGAUAAUGACGGUACCUAACAAGAAAGCACCGGCUAACUACGUG
Molecule: ribosomal RNA, 468 nt
Filed under: uncultured bacterium
Lineage: Bacteria
Description: partial 16S ribosomal RNA
Rfam family: Bacterial small subunit ribosomal RNA
Source: RNAcentral